RNAcentral lists this transfer RNA (66 nucleotides) under Amitermes sp. WA_135. RNAcentral describes it as "tRNA-Asp". The record is from RNAcentral. Lineage: Eukaryota; Metazoa; Arthropoda; Insecta; Blattodea; Termitidae.
AAAGGAUUAGUUAAUCAUAUAACAUCAGAAUGUCAAACUGAAGUAAUCAACUAAAGAUAUCCUUUU